Molecule: small RNA, 656 nt
Filed under: uncultured fungus
Lineage: Eukaryota; Fungi
Description: eukaryotic LSU rRNA
Rfam family: 5.8S ribosomal RNA (bases 218-372)
Source: RNAcentral
GGAAGGAUCAUUACUGAGUUGUCGACAUGAGCUGUUGCUGGCCCUCAGACAUGGGGGCAUGUGCACGCUCUGUUCAUACAUCCACUCACACCUGUGCACCCACCGUAGUUCUAUGGUCUGGGGGACAUCUGUCUCCCUCCCUGUAGAUCCACGUCUUUACACGUACACCGUAGCAAAGUCUUAUGGAAUGUGUGCCGCGUUUAACGCAAUACAAUACAACUUUCAGCAACGGAUCUCUUGGCUCUCGCAUCGAUGAAGAACGCAGCGAAAUGCGAUAAGUAAUGUGAAUUGCAGAAUUCAGUGAAUCAUCGAAUCUUUGAACGCACCUUGCGCCCCUUGGCUAUUCCGAGGGGCAUGCCUGUUUGAGUAUCACGAACACCUCAACUCUUGCGGUUUGCCGUGAUGAGCUUGGACUUUUGGGGGUUUUGCUGGCCACGGUCGGCUCCUCUGAAAUGGAUCAGCUUGCCAGUGUUUGGUGGCGUCAUGGGUGUGAUAACUAUCUACGCUUGUGAUAGCUCGCCAAGUAACCUUCAGAGAUGGAGGUUUGCUGGAGCUUAUAAAUGUCUCUCCUCUCAGUGAAGACAGCUUUUUGACCGUUUGAUCUCAAAUCAGGUAGGAUUACCCGCUGAACUUAAGCAUAUCAAUAAGCGGAGGAA